RNAcentral lists this ribosomal RNA (273 nucleotides) under uncultured bacterium. RNAcentral describes it as "partial small subunit ribosomal RNA". It matches the Rfam family "Bacterial small subunit ribosomal RNA", at positions 26 to 286 of the family's 1533-position model. The record is from RNAcentral.
AGAACGAACGCUGGCGGCGGGGCUUAGGCAUGCAAGUCGAGCGAGAAAGCGCAAGCAAGUACAGCGGCGUAAGGGUGAGUAAUAGGUAGUCAACGUACCUUCGAGACGCGGGAUAAUUCUCCGAAAAGGGGUUGUAAUACGCGAUGAGACCACGUGUCCUCCGGGACAAGGGGUCAAAAGUAGGGGAUCCUUCGGGACCUCGCGGCUCGGUGGAGCGGACGACCUCCGAUUAGCUAGAUGGCGGGGUAACGCCACCAUGGCAGUGAUCGGUAG